CUCGCGGCCUAUCAGCUUGUUGGUGAGGUAAUGGCUCACCAAGGCGUCGACGGGUAGCCGGCCUGAGAGGGUGACCGGCCACACUGGGACUGAGACACGGCCCAGACUCCUACGGGAGGCAGCAGUGGGGAAUAUUGCACAAUGGGCGAAAGCCUGAUGCAGCAACGCCGCGUGCGGGAUGACGGCCUUCGGGUUGUAAACCGCUUUUAGUAGGGAAGAAGGGCUUCGGCUUGACGGUACCUGCAGAAAAAGGACCGGCUAACUACGUGCCAGCAGCCGCGGUAAUACGUAGGGUCCGAGCGUUGUCCGGAAUUAUUGGGCGUAAAGAGCUCGUAGGCGGUUUGUCGCGUCUGCUGUGAAAUCUGGAGGCUCAACCUCCAGCCUGCAGUGGGUACGGGCAGACUAGAGUGCGGUAGGGGAGAAUGGAAUUCCUGGUGUAGCGGUGGAAUGCGCAGAUAUCAGGAGGAACACCGAUGGCGAAGGCAGUUCUCUGGGCCGUAACUGACGCUGAGGAGCGAAAGCGUGGGGAGCGAACAGGAUUAGAUACCCUGGUAGUCCACGCCGUAAACGUUGGGCGCUAGAUGUGGGGACCUUUCCACGGUUUCCGUGUCGUAGCUAACGCA
RNAcentral lists this ribosomal RNA (623 nucleotides) under Agromyces sp. Its description in RNAcentral is "bacterial SSU rRNA". It matches the Rfam family "Bacterial small subunit ribosomal RNA", at positions 230 to 859 of the family's 1533-position model. Lineage: Bacteria; Bacillati; Actinomycetota; Actinomycetes; Micrococcales; Microbacteriaceae. The record is from RNAcentral.